CCUACGGGUGGCAGCAGUGGGGAAUAUUGCACAAUGGGGGAAACCCUGAUGCAGCGACGCCGCGUGAGCGAGGAAGUAUUUCGGUAUGUAAAGUUCUGUCAGUGGGGACGAAAAAUGACGGUACCCACAGAGGAAGCACCGGCUAACUCCGUGCCAGCAGCCGCGGUAAUACGGAGGGUGCAAGCGUUGUCCGGAAUCAUUGGGCGUAAAGAGUUCGUAGGCGGCAUGUAAAGUCAGGUGUUAAAGGCGCAGGCUCAACCUGUGUAUGGCACUUGAUACUUGCAAGCUGGAAUGCGGUAGAGGUAAAGGGAAUUCCUGGUGUAGCGGUGAAAUGCUUAGAUAUCAGGAGGAACAUCGGUGGCGUAAGCGCUUUACUGGGCCGUAAUUGACGCUGAGGAACGAAAGCCAGGGUAGCAAAUGGGAUUAGAUACCCCAGUAGUC
RNAcentral lists this ribosomal RNA (441 nucleotides) under uncultured bacterium. Its description in RNAcentral is "partial 16S ribosomal RNA". It matches the Rfam family "Bacterial small subunit ribosomal RNA", at positions 338 to 795 of the family's 1533-position model. The record is from RNAcentral.